This is a long non-coding RNA of Bos taurus (domestic cattle), 2664 nucleotides long. The record is from Ensembl. Lineage: Eukaryota; Metazoa; Chordata; Mammalia; Artiodactyla; Bovidae.
CCGUUGACACUGAGGGGGGCUUUCUGAGAAAUGGGUGUUGGCGGCUUGGGGAGGCCUCCUCUUGCGUCCCACCUGGUUCGGGCUUAAGAGACCUGAAAGCCGCCGAGCUGGGCUAGAUGCUCCUGUAGAUAAACUCGGACGCCACGUCCCGUCCUGGCUGCUUAUUUAGCGCGGUCUCUCCAGCUCAUAUUUUACCUAGCCAGGGGCAGUGAGUGGGAACCACGGAAAGAGGGGGCGGAGAACACCAACUCUUCGCUCGCAGACCCUGCAAGGCGGCUUUCGGCCCGAGACAUUUUCUCGGCAGCUUCCCUCCACGGCGGCCGCGGGACUCCGCUGACACGCACCACCCCGAACCCUUUCGCGGACAGCACCCCGGGGACUGGAGGGAUCCGGAAGGCUCCGCCAGCCCCUCGCUCGGGGCCAGAAGGGAGUACGGCCCAGCAGAUGGAAACGCGGCGCUGGCCUGUCCCUAAGUACCUCUGGGCCCCCACAAAGUCGGGCACCGAGGCCCCUGUAAAGGAAGGAAAAGGCGUCAUGAGCCCCGGAACCUGAGAACCCUCAGCCGAACCGGACUCUCGAGGAGCCUUAUAAAAUCCUUUUCUCGCACAAAAAUCUCACCAAGGGGUUUCCGGAAGACUUUGUUGAGGGAGGUUUCGGUAUUGAACUCCAGGCCUGCAGAGCGGCCUGUAAAUUUCCCCCAGCCCAGCCGCUGGCCAGAUCGCGAACAUCCAGGCAGGCACCCCAGGCCGAGUUGAUGAGCCUCUGCGCCCACCUCCGGCUUAGAGCUCCCGAGAUCCCACCUCUUCACCCCUCAUCCCGGGUUUGCACCUCGGCGCCGGGCGCACACUGAGUCGGCCCCCUCCGGGCGCGACCUAAAGCCCGGGGCUAGCCGCGGCCGGAUAGUCCCCGGGGAGUCGAAACCGCCGAGCGGGGAAACCCCUUCUCUCGUCCUUCCCCGAAAAGCCUGGCCGCGGCGUAGGCGCCGAGCGAGCGGGCAUCCGCUGACAGCCGGGCCUCACGUAAGGCCCACACGCGUCCCAUUAGUCAGCCUGAGUUCCCCUCGGGCGAGCCGUCUGGCGCGGCCCCAAGGCCGGGCGCGGGAGGGGACCGGGGUGCGGGGCCGCGGCGAGCUGGCAGCGGGGCGGGGGCGCGGGCUCUGCGGGGCCCGGCCGGGCUCGGUUCCGCGUUCCUGGGCCCGCGGGUAAGCUGAGCCGGCGGGGCAGGCCGCUCCCUGGCUGGCGCCGAGGCGCCGAACUGCGCUUCACGUGCCCGCCAUAUCAGCGGCGGCGGCGGCGAGGAGCGGGGGCUGGGAGGCGGGCCGCAGCUCCCGCGGGGUCUCCGGCCCCCGCCUCCCCCGCCCUGCCCGGGGCCGGGUCUGGACCACCCCGCAGCCCGCAGCCCCUAUCCCCGCGCCGGCCGAGAUCGGCGCUGCCAGACGCAGAGAGGUUCCUAGGGCGCCGUUCCGAAAGCUGCGCUGCGGCGGCAGCCAGAGGAGGGUGCUCCUCGCGGCCGCCCCGGGAACUUCCCAGCCGCCCCGCCGCCGCCGCCGCAGUCACCGGGACCGGAAGCCCUUGCGCCGCCCCGAGCGGCCUCCGCUGGCCCCCAGGGCUGUUCCAGACGAGGGCUAGUUGCGCGUCACCUUCGAUCCCUCCUGGUCUCAGGUGGCCGUCCUCGCCCUGGAGCAUCCCCAUUUAAACCCGGAGGACCCUACUCGCGGUCCAGCGAGACCUUUCUCUAUUUCCACCAUCAGCGCGGCUCCCCCCGCAGCUGGGACGGGAGGGGCGCGGAGCCGCCACUCCCGCCGGGCAGGAACACCUGCUCCCAGGCCCUGCAGCUGGGCGCGUGGUGCUGGGAGAGGCUGCCUACUGUUGUAUGCAGAGAUCGCGGAGAAAAUGGGGCUCCGAAGCUCAGGUCCAGGCGCAGCCGCGCCCCGGCCACCCCCAUCCCCCAUCCUUUCUGUGCAAUCAGGCCCGAAGUUCGGGGAACUGGGGUCUUCCUGAGGGUCGAAGGGCCGCCAACCGUGGGAUCCGGCUUCUGGCCUUAAGAGGUCGUUUGCAAGAUAGAUGGGGCAAAACCUGUUUUGGGAGCCAUCCCGGUGUCCGCCCCCGCUCUCCAAACCAGACACACUCAUCUCCCCUCGGCCCUCACUCUAGCCUCCAGCGGGGGACCAGAGUAGGUCAUGGCGGCACUGGUACGGGGUUCGGACUUUGGCACUCCGCGUGGAGAGGGCCGAUGGACCCUCCCCAUCUCCUCCGUGCCCGGAGGAGAUCGGGCAGCCGAGAUGACCUGCGCCGCUUGCCCUGCCUCACCCCUCCUCCCCCGUCCCGCCCUCCCCGGCGCUCCUGGCCCAGGGCCCGGCCGAGGAAGGCGUUGUUUUGCCAGCGGGAGCCGAGCGAGUGCGCAGAGAAAAGCCUCCCUGCUCUAAUGAGAGUGCACACAGCGCUGCGGCGAGGAGGAUGAUUACCCGGCGGGCGGGGGGGCGCGGGCCCGGGCCGCGGGCGGCGUGUGCGGCGGCCCCGCGGGCCCGGAGUCCCCGCCUGUCUGGCUGCUAAUCGCACGCUUUCUGCUGUUACGGAGGCAGGCGGGAGCCGGCGGCCGAGCCCAGCGCCGGCGACUCGGCGGGUGACACGGAAACAUGGCGCAGCGCCCCUCCCCCGCCCGCCC